Gorilla gorilla gorilla (western lowland gorilla) is the source of this 168-nucleotide long non-coding RNA. RefSeq lists it as uncharacterized. NCBI's taxonomy places the organism in Eukaryota, Metazoa, Chordata, Mammalia, Primates, Hominidae. The record is from RefSeq and is a predicted model, not a curated record. The transcript has 3 exons.
UCACAAUGAAGUGUCUGGGGCCAAAGGGUUUCUUCUCCCACCCUACCUCCACUGGAGAGAAUUUCAUUUUAAUGAGGAGUCAGGACUGUUGAGAGAGAACUUAAUGUCCAAAGAAGUCCCCAAGGAGCCACAUGCUGCUUGAAUUAUGUAAAGAGUGAUGAGACGGGG